GUAUAAUUCUGGUGCCAUGAAUUCCGGAGUGCCUAUGACACUAUGUGCUGAUUGAGAACCCCGGAGGAUUGCUGCAAGGCCUAGAUCACCAAUCUUGACCUGUCCAAGAUGGCCAUUGACAAAGAUGUUGUCACAUUUCAGGUCUCUAUGAAUUACUGGAGGAUCAUGGCCAUGUAGAUACACAAGGCCUUGUAAGAUUUGACAAGCCCAGUUCUUAAUGGCUCGAAUAUCCACUCGUUUGUAUUUUUUCCGGUAUUCUCUCAGAGUUCCUGAAGUGAACAUUUCAGUGAUGAAGUUGAACGUCUUUUGAUGAACAUCAAUCCAAGAGGUGUAGAAUUGGAUUAUAGAGUCAUGGUUGAGGGUGCUGAGAAGGUGAACCUCAGAGUAUAGCCUCUGCAAGUUCUCAGGCGAGCGAAGCAACUCAUUGAGUUUUACCUGGUUCCAUGCCACCUCCAUUCCUAGGACUUCAUCAAUUGCCUUGUAUACUGUUUUCAUUGCUCCUUUUCCAAGAAUUUGUUCAAACCGACCAUACCGGCCCGUAGGAUCGGUUUCAACAUAGCCAUGGUCGGCCUCUGUUUCCUGCAACCCAACUUGAUUUUUGUACAUGUUUUUUAUAUGGGAAAGCUUCCGUGAAAAGCUUUAUUUUGAAAAAUCUUGAGAAAUUUUGAACUCUACUUUCUGUGAUGGUAGAUAAGUACAAGUUAUAGAGAGAGAGAGAGAGAGAGA
This 726-nucleotide unclassified non-coding RNA is filed under the name Hevea brasiliensis (rubber tree). The record is from RNAcentral. Lineage: Eukaryota; Viridiplantae; Streptophyta; Magnoliopsida; Malpighiales; Euphorbiaceae.